CGACGAUGCGUAGGGGUUCUGAGAGGAAGGCCCCCCACACUGGAACUGAGACACGGUCCAGACUCCUACGGGAGGCAGCAGUGAGGAAUAUUGGUCAAUGGGCGGAAGCCUGAACCAGCCAAGUCGCGUGAGGGAAUAAGGCCCUACGGGUCGUAAACCUCUUUUGCCGGGGAGCAAGGGCCGGGACGCGUCCCGGCCCGGAGAGUACCCGGAGAAAAAGCAUCGGCUAACUCCGUGCCAGCAGCCGCGGUAAUACGGAGGAUGCGAGCGUUAUCCGGAUUUAUUGGGUUUAAAGGGUGCGUAGGCGGGCUUUUAAGUCAGCGGUAAAAAUUCGGGGCUCAACCCCGUCCGGCCGUUGAAACUGGGGGCCUUGAGUGGGCGAGAAGAAGGCGGAAUGCGUGGUGUAGCGGUGAAAUGCAUAGAUAUCACGCAGAACCCCGAUUGCGAAGGCAGCCUUCCGGCGCCCUACUGACGCUGAGGCACGAAAGUGCGGGGAUCGAACAGGAUUAGAUACCCUGGUAGUCCGCACAGUAAACGAUGGAUGCCAGCUGUCCGGGCCGAAUGGGGCCUGG
This 572-nucleotide ribosomal RNA is filed under the name uncultured bacterium. RNAcentral describes it as "bacterial SSU rRNA". It matches the Rfam family "Bacterial small subunit ribosomal RNA", at positions 274 to 842 of the family's 1533-position model. The record is from RNAcentral.